UUAGGAAUUUUGCGCAAUGGGGGAAACCCUGACGCAGCAACGCCGCGUGGAGGAUGAAGGCCUUCGGGUUGUAAACUCCUUUCGGAGGGGAAAAACAAAAUGAUGGUACCCUAAGAAGAAGCACCGGCAAACUACGUGCCAGCAGCCGCGGUAAUACGUAGGGUGCAAGCGUUACUCGGAAUCAUUGGGCGUAAAGCGCGUGUAGGUGGCUAUGUAAGUCUGAUGUGAAAGCCCUGGACUCAAUCCAGGAAGUGCAUUGGAUACUGCAUUGCUAGAGUAUAGGAGAGGUGGACGGAAUUCCUGGUGUAGAGGUGAAAUUCGUAGAUAUCAGGAGGAACAACAGAGGCGAAGGCGGUUCACUGGACUAUAACUGACACUCAGACGCGAAAGUGUGGGGAGCAAACAGG
This 407-nucleotide ribosomal RNA is filed under the name uncultured bacterium. RNAcentral's name for it is "bacterial SSU rRNA". It matches the Rfam family "Bacterial small subunit ribosomal RNA", at positions 355 to 776 of the family's 1533-position model. The record is from RNAcentral.